GAUGAACGCUGGCGGCGUGCCUAAUACAUGCAAGUCGAGCGAACAGACGAGGAGCUUGCUCCUCUGACGUUAGCGGCGGACGGGUGAGUAACACGUGGAUAACCUACCUAUAAGACUGGGAUAACUUCGGGAAACCGGAGCUAACACCGGAUAAUAUAUUGAACCGCAUGGUUCAAUAGUGAAAGACGGUUUUGCUGUCACUUAUAGAUGGAUCCGCGCCGCAUUAGCUAGUUGGUAAGGUAACGGCUUACCAAGGCGACGAUGCGUAGCCGACCUGAGAGGGUGAUCGGCCACACUGGAACUGAGACACGGUCCAGACUCCUACGGGAGGCAGCAGUGGGGAAUCUUCCGCAAUGGGCGAAAGCCUGACGGAGCAACGCCGCGUGAGUGAUGAAGGUCUUCGGAUCGUAAAACUCUGUUAUUAGGGAAGAACAAAUGUGUAAGUAACUAUGCACGUCUUGACGGUACCUAAUCAGAAAGCCACGGCUAACUACGUG
This 497-nucleotide ribosomal RNA is filed under the name uncultured bacterium. RNAcentral describes it as "partial 16S ribosomal RNA". It matches the Rfam family "Bacterial small subunit ribosomal RNA", at positions 28 to 507 of the family's 1533-position model. The record is from RNAcentral.